GAUGAACGCUAGCGGCAGGCUUAACACAUGCAAGUCGAGGGGCAGCAUAAACAUUGCUUGCAAUGUUUGAUGGCGACCGGCGCACGGGUGCGUAACGCGUAUGUAACCUACCUCAAACAGGGGCAUAACACCGAGAAAUUGGUACUAAUUCCCCAUAAUACUUUGAAAGGCAUCUUUUGAAGUUGAAAGUUCCGGCGGUUUGAGAUGGACAUGCGUUGUAUUAGCUGGUUGGUGAGGUAACGGCUCACCAAGGCGACGAUACAUAGGGGGACUGAGAGGUUAACCCCCCACAUUGGUACUGAGACACGGACCAAACUCCUACGGGAGCAGCAGUGAGGAAUAUUGGUCAAUGGACGCAAGUCUGAACCAGCCAUGCCGCGUGCAGGAAGACGGCUC
Molecule: ribosomal RNA, 396 nt
Filed under: uncultured bacterium
Lineage: Bacteria
Description: bacterial SSU rRNA
Rfam family: Bacterial small subunit ribosomal RNA
Source: RNAcentral